Molecule: ribosomal RNA, 794 nt
Filed under: Pedobacter sp.
Lineage: Bacteria; Pseudomonadati; Bacteroidota; Sphingobacteriia; Sphingobacteriales; Sphingobacteriaceae
Description: bacterial SSU rRNA
Rfam family: Bacterial small subunit ribosomal RNA
Source: RNAcentral
ACAAUGGAGAGUUUGAUCCUGGCUCAGGAUGAACGCUAGCGGCAGGCCUAAUACAUGCAAGUCGGACGGGAUUUGGGAGCUUGCUCCUCAUGAGAGUGGCGCACGGGUGCGUAACACGUAUGUAACCUACCUUAGUCAGGGGGAUAGCCUCUCGAAAGAGAGAUUAAGACCGCAUAACAUUGAGAUGUGGCAUCACAAUACAAUCAAAUAUUUAUAGGACUAAGAUGGGCAUGCGGAACAUUAGCUAGUUGGUAAGGUAACGGCUUACCAAGGCUACGAUGUUUAGGGGAUCUGAGAGGAUGACCCCCCACACUGGUACUGAGACACGGACCAGACUCCUACGGGAGGCAGCAGUAAGGAAUAUUGGUCAAUGGGCGCAAGCCUGAACCAGCCAUGCCGCGUGCAGGAAGACGGCCCUCCGGGUUGUAAACUGCUUUUAUUCGGGAAUAAACCUCCAUACGUGUAUGGAGCUGAAUGUACCGAAGGAAUAAGGAUCGGCUAACUCCGUGCCAGCAGCCGCGGUAAUACGGAGGAUCCGAGCGUUAUCCGGAUUUAUUGGGUUUAAAGGGUGCGUAGGCGGCCUGUUAAGUCAGGGGUGAAAGACGGUAGCUCAACUAUCGCAGUGCCUUUGAUACUGACGGGCUUGAAUGCACUUGAGGUAGGCGGAAUGUGACAAGUAGCGGUGAAAUGCAUAGAUAUGUCACAGAACACCGAUUGCGAAGGCAGCUUACUAUGGUCUUAUUGACGCUGAGGCACGAAAGCGUGGGGAUCAAACAGGAUUAGAUACCCUGGUA